Molecule: transfer RNA, 63 nt
Filed under: Drummondia obtusifolia
Lineage: Eukaryota; Viridiplantae; Streptophyta; Bryopsida; Scouleriales; Drummondiaceae
Description: partial tRNA-Phe
Rfam family: tRNA
About the family: Transfer RNA (tRNA) molecules are approximately 80 nucleotides in length. Their secondary structure includes four short double-helical elements and three loops (D, anti-codon, and T loops).
Source: RNAcentral
AGAAAGCCGAGAUAGCUCAGUUGGUAGAGCAGAGGACUGAAAAUCCUCGUGUCACCAGUCAAA